GGUAUGCUAUCGGAUACGACAA
This 22-nucleotide non-coding RNA is filed under the name Arabidopsis thaliana (thale cress). The record is from RNAcentral. Lineage: Eukaryota; Viridiplantae; Streptophyta; Magnoliopsida; Brassicales; Brassicaceae.